This is a long non-coding RNA of Lutra lutra (Eurasian river otter), 2012 nucleotides long. RefSeq lists it as uncharacterized. Lineage: Eukaryota; Metazoa; Chordata; Mammalia; Carnivora; Mustelidae. The record is from RefSeq and is a predicted model, not a curated record. The transcript has 4 exons.
GUCCAGGACCUGACUGAGGUCGGGCUUUGCUCCGUCAGCUGUUUCAGCUGCCACCUCAGUGAGGGAUUUAUAAAUAUUUGUUGCUCUUCCCCCGACCCCAGGCACACCGUGUGCUCGCUCCCUGGGAAGCAAGAUUGUUUGGCCAUUUCACAGAGAGGGAGCCUCAGGCCCUGGGGACGGGAGACUCAGUCAUGAGGGAAGGCCUGAGGAGGAGCAGGAGUACAGUGAAGACCUCUGGCUUUUCCCAUUCUCCAGAUGAAGCCUCUGCAGGCAAAACCAAGUGAGCCUCCAGUAUCUUCUGCUGACAAAACACAUCAUCAAGCCAGCUGGCACAGGAGAAAUAUCAUCUUCAGAGUCCAGUUCCAGAAUCACCAAGCAGAGCAAAGCAAUCACGAAGGUAGUAAAUGUACAACUGGAACGAAAGUGAACAGCACUGGGUCUCGCCUUGACACCCCCGCCCUCCAGAAGAGGGGUCAUGCCCAGGCACUGGAGAGACUCUGGUGUGGAUUUCCAGAAUCCCUUUUGGACACAUGUCUGCCUGUUCCUUUUUGACAAAGCUCCGCUUUCCAGAGAUUAAUUGUUGUCAAACGCAACUUAUUUUCUAAUCCUUUCAGGCUCUGCUUAAAACCUUCUGCUUUAUUUUACUUCUUUUGAUAAAGUCGCUGAGAUUUUUUUUUCUUUUUCUUUCUUUCUUUUUUUUUUUUUUUUUAUGGAUUUGCCAAUGAUUGUCCAGUUUGACAAAUUGGAUUCCUAAAGCUGAUUCUUUGAAGAAAAGGAUGCAGUGUGACAAGACAAGAAACAGCUCAUCCUCAAAUCGGGAGGAUAAAUAAAAAAAUAGAAGCAACCCCAUUCUCCGGCUUCCCUGCGACUCAAAGGGUGUCUCAGUUGUCACUGAUAAUCUAAUCUUCUGAUGAUAGGUGAGAAACAGGACAAUGGCGACCCAGCCAGGCUGCGGGUGUGAUAGGCCUCUGAUUAAUAGGACUGUCCAAGGAGGCCCCAGCCCCCGGGAAGAUGAUUAAUGACAUUUGAUGUGAACUCUGACCUCCCCCGGCAAGCACAGAGGGAGAAAAGGCGGCUGCUCAGACAGGAUGUGCGUCCUGCAGAAGGUGAUUGAUUCCUGAAGGCUUUGUGACUCUGAGGGUGCGUGGGGGGCCCCUCGUGGCCCCUUCCUGGGCUCUGACAAAACACCCUACCCUGGCAGGGGUCUGCAGACUGGAAGGAAAUUUGUGAGGAAAGCACAGCCCUGGAUGAUAACUCUUCUUCGGGGAGGAGCACAUUCAGAGCACGUGCACGUUGGGUUGUCCCAGCUGAGGACUCUACGAAGGUUCCAGAGGUCUGGGGUCUUCUACGGACAGAGUGCUCGUUCGUUCUCCCUCAACCUUGCUGAAGCUCUUGUGGGAGCGGCCCUCCCUGGCCGGUUCUGGGGAGCAAUGAACCAAAAGCUCCUUAAAAAGCACCAGAGAGAUUGAAAGAUUGCCAUUCCUUCUUAACUGUUGCUACUUUGCUUUCACAGUUCGGGUUAUGACCUCCACCAUUCCCUCUGGGGAACAGAGAGACUCCAAAUCAGAGAGAAAGAGGCACAAAUAGAAAGACACAAAAAUGACAGAAACCAGAAGACAGACCCACAUUCUUUCUUUCAGUGACUCAAAAAAAGGACUCAUGGAGAACCUACUAUGUGCGGGACUGCACACCCACCCUUAAUGGAUACACCACAAGACGUCCACACCAGCUCCACAGACCCUCCGCGGGAUUUUGGGCAAGAGAAUAAAGAGCAUGCUGUUCCCUCUCAGGCCAGUAGGUGGCGCCAUGUCAGAGGGAAAAUUAGGGGAGUCGCUGGAUUUGAUAGCCACCUAUGGACAUAAAUUCAAUUUCAUCUAGUUCUCUGAGUGCCACUAUGUGCAGGGCAACAGGCAGGACACUCGAGGGUACAUAGGAUGAGAAAUGCAGGGAGCCUGGUGGCUCAGUUAAGCGACUGCCUUAGGCUCAUUUCGUGAUUCUGGUGUUCUAGGAUU